CAUAUGAUCACAUUGGAACACAGUGUUCUUUUAAAGCUUGCGAUGUUGGAAAAUUCUUAAGCACUUCUCCAAAUGAUUUGCACUAACUGAUUUGAGCAUACUUAAAAAGCAGAUAACACCAGUUUAUAGAAAUCUAAUCUGUCAGACGUUAACCUGAUGUUGUGUGAUUUUUAACUUGGUCCACCCCAGUUCAAUAUCAACUCCUCCACAUCAACAUUUGAAAUCAUUCAUAAGAUGAUUUGUCCUCUUUGUUAAUCAGAGAAUUGAAGGAUGGAUUUAUACUGGAAGCUGUGUCGAUAUAAAGUCGCACCACUGACACAAAUUCAGUACUCAAUUAGUUUGAGGGACAGCUGUUCUUAGAUGGACAAGAGCACUCAAAGCAGAAAUAUCAAGUCAGCUCAAAGUCAACCUUACACUUUUUAAAAGCCUGUGGCAUUACACGAAGAGAUUCUGUUAGAGGGGAAAGUGAAUACAGUUUUCAGUGGAAACCGAAACAGAAAUUGCUGGAAAAACUCAGGACGUCUGUCAGCAUCGAUGGAGAGAAAUGCGAGAUAAUGUUUUGCGGUCGGUGACCCAUCUUCCGAACAUGUGGGUCUUGGUCUUCCAAAGCAGUUGUGAAGGACAUCUGAAACCGAGUGCACAUUGGAGAGUUUGGUGCGUGAGGGAUUUCAGACAAUCCUUUCUUUUAUUAAUUGGUCACUCUGUAGCUGAACAGGAGCUGAAAGUUGAUUCUCAGAAAUCCAUCAAGAGUCAGCUCUGUGAACACUUCCAAACCCCAAAAGCAUGAAGUUAAGAAAAAAUAACAUGGAAUCUCAGAGAAAUGGGUUAGUGAUUGAAGGGCGAUUGUUUGUUCACUUGCUUUUUCUUUUAAAAUCCAGGAAAUAUUUUCAUACUUUUCCCUUAUGUUUUCUUAAGUUUCAGAAUAUUAAUACUUUUGAGUGAGAGUACUUAGUUUAUUCGUUAUCAAUUACAUUAAAAAAAGAAGUUUCAUGAAAUGACAAUGGCAGAACAGGUGAUGUGUGGUGACUGUCGGGUGUGCGAUUUAUGCGAUCUAUUGUAGAAAGAAUAAGUUAAUCUUGAAGAUAUUCUCCUUAGAGUUCAUAAAUUACUGACCAAGAUGAAGACAAAGCGGUGCACCAGUGCGGUUUCAAUGUACACUUAAUUCUUUUUUUGAGGUGGCAGCCACAGUCUUAAGGCUAUGGUCUUCCAAUUUGAUCAAUAUUGAUGUAAAGUAGGGUGCAGCUGGCAAAGCUCUGGGGACCGAAGAGGUGGAGGAGGCACCGCCUUUCCUGUUAUUCAGCGAAUGUUUGGUUCUUCCACCUUCUUUGGAGGAGUUUGAUGGCUGAGGGAUAGAUGAGCUCACUGAUCACUGCACCAGAAUUGAGUAAGACAUUACCUU
Non-coding RNA from Chiloscyllium plagiosum (whitespotted bambooshark), 1399 nucleotides. NCBI's taxonomy places the organism in Eukaryota, Metazoa, Chordata, Chondrichthyes, Orectolobiformes, Hemiscylliidae. The record is from RefSeq and is a predicted model, not a curated record.